Molecule: ribosomal RNA, 514 nt
Filed under: Ramaria sp. TENN61341
Lineage: Eukaryota; Fungi; Basidiomycota; Agaricomycetes; Gomphales; Gomphaceae
Description: eukaryotic LSU rRNA
Rfam family: 5.8S ribosomal RNA (bases 170-324)
Source: RNAcentral
GCGGAAGGAUCAUUAAAGGACUCUUGGAGUUGGAUUGUAGCUGGCCUUUUAGGCAUAUAUGUGCACAUCCCUCCUUAUAUCCAAAUACACUUGUGCACAAAGGGGUCUUAUUAGGCCUCAUUUUACACACAUACACUGUUGUUAAUGCAUGUUAUACAAUUAUAAUUACAACUUUCAACAACGGAUCUCUUGGCUUUCGCAUCGAUGAAGAACGCCGCGAAAGUGCGAAACGUAAUGUGAAUUGCAGAAUUCAGUGAAUCAUCGAAUCUUUGAACGCAUCUUGCGCUUCUUGGUAUUCCGAGGAGCAUGCCUGUCUGAGUGUCGUGAAAUUCUCUCGAACCAUAUCUCUAUGGUUCGGAUGUGGACGUGUGUUGUUGGUUAAUACAACUCGUCUUGAAAUUCAUUAGCUGAUCUUCUUGGUCUGGCGGACGGUGUGAUAAAUGAAAUAACACUGUGUUGUCUAACAUAUAAGAUCGCUUCUAAUCCAAAUCAUUUUUUAUUAAAUGACCUCAGA